RNAcentral lists this transfer RNA (73 nucleotides) under Nematostella vectensis (starlet sea anemone). It matches the Rfam family "tRNA". Rfam says of the family: Transfer RNA (tRNA) molecules are approximately 80 nucleotides in length. Their secondary structure includes four short double-helical elements and three loops (D, anti-codon, and T loops). Further hydrogen bonds mediate the characteristic L-shaped molecular structure. tRNAs have two regions of fundamental functional importance: the anti-codon, which is responsible for specific mRNA codon recognition, and the 3' end, to which the tRNAs corresponding amino acid is attached (by aminoacyl-tRNA synthetases). tRNAs cope with the degeneracy of the genetic code in two manners: having more than one tRNA (with a specific anti-codon) for a particular amino acid; and 'wobble' base-pairing, i.e. permitting non-standard base-pairing at the 3rd anti-codon position. The record is from Rfam by way of RNAcentral. Lineage: Eukaryota; Metazoa; Cnidaria; Anthozoa; Actiniaria; Edwardsiidae.
GCCCGGUUAGCUCAGAUGGUAGAGCAUCAGACUUUUAAUCACAGGUUCAUGGGUUCGAGCCCCAUAUCGGGCG